GCCCGAGUGGCGGAAUGGUAGACGCAAGGGACUUAAAAUCCCUCGAACAUUUUGUUCGUGCCGGUUCAAGUCCGGCUUCGGGCACCA
RNAcentral lists this transfer RNA (87 nucleotides) under Campylobacteraceae bacterium. Its description in RNAcentral is "tRNA-Leu". It matches the Rfam family "tRNA". Rfam says of the family: Transfer RNA (tRNA) molecules are approximately 80 nucleotides in length. Their secondary structure includes four short double-helical elements and three loops (D, anti-codon, and T loops). Further hydrogen bonds mediate the characteristic L-shaped molecular structure. tRNAs have two regions of fundamental functional importance: the anti-codon, which is responsible for specific mRNA codon recognition, and the 3' end, to which the tRNAs corresponding amino acid is attached (by aminoacyl-tRNA synthetases). tRNAs cope with the degeneracy of the genetic code in two manners: having more than one tRNA (with a specific anti-codon) for a particular amino acid; and 'wobble' base-pairing, i.e. permitting non-standard base-pairing at the 3rd anti-codon position. Lineage: Bacteria; Pseudomonadati; Campylobacterota; Epsilonproteobacteria; Campylobacterales; Campylobacteraceae. The record is from RNAcentral.